RNAcentral lists this long non-coding RNA (201 nucleotides) under Elaeis guineensis (African oil palm). RNAcentral describes it as "long non-coding RNA (EGUI_LNC068726)". Lineage: Eukaryota; Viridiplantae; Streptophyta; Magnoliopsida; Arecales; Arecaceae. The record is from RNAcentral.
CCCGGCCCAAAUUGGGCCCAGAAUCAGCCACAGCCCACAAAAAAAAAAAAAAAAAAAACAGGGAGAAGACUCCCGAAGGGAGUCUUCUUCCUCCGUUCACCGGCUCCCAAUCGGAGUCGGAGACAUGCUCCCUCCGGCCCUAUUUAAGCAGGAGAUCCCUCCUCUCUCCUUUCCAUCGAAAAUCCCGGGGCAAAACGGCGG